AUCUGGAUAUACUUGGUAAAUUCUGCUGAUAAAUUUUUUGAGAAAUAGGGAGUUUCUCAGUUUAGUAUCUGCUAAGAAGUCCGAGCAUUGCAUUUGCUUCUUAUCUUGAAAUUUUUUAGCGUUGUUCAGCACAUCUGCAAAAUAUGAUUAUUCUUCUCACUUCUAAUAGAAUUUAUCCGAAUGUGCUCAGUAACGACAGAGUCCAGGUUCAGCAACCACAUUUGAGUACUGAGCUGUCUUGUUCAGACUAAAAAGUGAUUGGAAUAGUUUCAUUCUGUCAUCAUCAUGUACAUAAGCUUGUGAACCACCAGACUAUUAUGUGGUGAGCAUGGAAAGAGUGCCACAAAUGACUCUUGUAUAUCAUCUAAUCUUUACUGUCUCAGCCAAAACUUGGAUGCUAAGCACGUCAGCCCUGAUGCAUCAUCUUACAGUUCCAACUUAGAAGCACUAGGAGACUCAGGGAUAUAUGAAUGGUUUUUGUUUCACAGGGUAAACUAGCAAAGCUUUUAGCUUGUAUCUUAUUUUGAAACUUUUGUUGACCUGAUUUAGUGUGUUUGCCUUUUGAAUCAAACGAUGCUUUGCCUUAAACCUCUAAGCAAUUACCAUGGGUAACUGUGUGAUUUCUGCUGUUAGGUCACUGCUGGGAGAAAGUACGCGCGUCUGUUCUCCUUUGCUUAUGAUAUAGUUCAGAUUAUUUUUUUGUGCAAAGUGUUCUCAGGGAAGGUGAUACUUCUUGGUGCCUUUUUCCCGCAUGGUUUCUGUUCUCUUUGGAGAGGUGCUGUGUAAAUGUAGGCCUCCAUUCUGCCGUCAAUUUCACUUGUGUGACCACUGACCACCCUGAAAUCAGAAAAUUUGAGUAGUUCCUUUUGCAUGAUAAUCAACUCAAGACCCGUUAGUUGUAACAAUCAUGUACCUAUUAGUCAAUCUGCCAUUUUAUUUUGUUAAUAAAUAUUACGGAAUUAGAAGAAACCUUUAUGUUCGUUCACUAAAUUUAGGAAUCAACAAAACAUAAUUUUUUUAUCGUUUCGCGUCAAUCCUUUCGACUUUCAAUUCUCUGUUUCUCCUUGUCUCUUUUCAUUAUCCUUGAUCUUCACGUAGAAGUCCCAGGUAAAAAAUUAUGCUUUGUUUGAUUUUUACAUUUGGUAUUCUUGAAACUUCUUAAUUGUGUGGGGAUCAAAUGUUUAUAUUUCCUUCCGUUCCUUAAAUUAGAUAUUUGAUAUUAUUAAUGUAGUAACCUAGGGGUUGCUCAGAUGGUUAGCAUUAUCACCUACAACCUCAGGGUUGUGGGUUAGCAUUCUCACCUACAACCUCAGGGUCGUGGGUUCGAGUCAAUGAGAGACUUCGAAGUAGGGCCGUUCGUGGUUCUGUCGAUUUUUUCUUUAAAAUAGUCAAACCUAUCAUGCCUAUUUACUAAUUUAAGAAUCUAACAAAGAAUAAAUUCUUACUGUUUCGUGUCGACACUUAAAAAUCCUCUGGGAUAACGAAUCACUCUUAAAGCUGCCUCCAAUUAUUUAUCCUGUGGACAACAGUGGC
This 1533-nucleotide long non-coding RNA is filed under the name Nicotiana tabacum (common tobacco). Its description in RNAcentral is "long non-coding RNA (NTAB_LNC014973)". The record is from RNAcentral. Lineage: Eukaryota; Viridiplantae; Streptophyta; Magnoliopsida; Solanales; Solanaceae.